RNAcentral lists this unclassified non-coding RNA (378 nucleotides) under plant metagenome. RNAcentral describes it as "partial contains 5.8S ribosomal RNA, internal transcribed spacer 2, and large subunit ribosomal RNA". The stretch from base 1 to 105 matches the Rfam family "5.8S ribosomal RNA", at positions 50 to 154 of the family's 154-position model. The record is from RNAcentral.
GAAAUGCGAUAAGUAAGGUGAAUUGCAGAAUUCAGUGAAUCAUCGAAUCUUUGAACGCACCUUGCGCUCCUUGGUAUUCCUUGGAGCAUGCCUGUUUGAGUAUCAUGAAAUCUUCAAAGUAAAUCUUUUGUUAACUCAAUUGGUUUCUACUUUGGUAUUGGAGGUCUUUGCAGCUUCACACCUGCUCCUCUUUGUUCAUUAGCUGGAUCUCAGUGUUAUGCUUGGUUCCACUCGGCGUGAUAAGUUAUCUAUCGCUGAGGACACUGUAAAAGGUGGCCAAGGUAAAUGCGGAUGAACCGCUUCUAAUAGUCCAUUGACUUGGACAAUACUUUUAUGAUCUGAUCUCAAAUCAGGUAGGACUACCCGCUGAACUUAAGC